UACGUAGGGGGCAAGCGUUGUCCGGAUUUACUGGGCGUAAAGCGCGCGUAGGUGGAACGUUAAGUCCGGUCUGAAAGCCCCCGGCUCAACCGGGGAGGGUGGCUGGAAACUGGCGUUCUUGAGGGCGAGAGAGGAGGGUGGAAUUCCUGGUGUAGCGGUGAAAUGCGUAGAGAUCGGGAGGAACCUCGAAAGCGAAGGCAGCCGGCUAGACGAUGAUUGACGCUGAGGGACGAUAGCGUGGGUAGCAAACAGG
RNAcentral lists this ribosomal RNA (253 nucleotides) under uncultured bacterium. RNAcentral's name for it is "partial 16S ribosomal RNA". It matches the Rfam family "Bacterial small subunit ribosomal RNA", at positions 524 to 776 of the family's 1533-position model. The record is from RNAcentral.